UAUGUUAAUAUUGUGACAUUUAAUGUAGCAUUGCUAAACCAUAUAUAUUCCAUUGUAGAAUUGCAUUAUAACGAAGAUUUGCUUCCCCCUUACAUGCCGGAGCUUAAUUUCACAUCAGUCCUUGGAAUUAUUCGUAAGCAAACAUAUGGAGCAAAGGUAUUUGUGGAAGCACAUUCGCAACGCAAGGCUGCCAAAGGUGAACGCCCACCAAAGAAUUAAAAGGAUGUAUAAAAUUUUCUUUUUGUAAGCAUUGUGGAACCUUCGCUCCACAAACUCACACACGCAACACAGUGUUUUCAAAUCAACAAAACAAUGGAAAUAUUGCGAUAAAUUCUAAACAAAUAAAGAUUACUUAAAAGAAAA
Stomoxys calcitrans (stable fly) is the source of this 363-nucleotide long non-coding RNA. RefSeq lists it as uncharacterized. The transcript is spliced from 2 exons. The record is from RefSeq and is a predicted model, not a curated record. NCBI's taxonomy places the organism in Eukaryota, Metazoa, Arthropoda, Insecta, Diptera, Muscidae.